GGAGGUAUAGCUCAAGUGGUAGAGUGCAUGAUUGGCAAACAUGAGGUCCUGGGUUCAAUCCCCAGUACUGCCU
RNAcentral lists this transfer RNA (73 nucleotides) under Camelus bactrianus (Bactrian camel). It matches the Rfam family "tRNA". From Rfam's summary of the family: Transfer RNA (tRNA) molecules are approximately 80 nucleotides in length. Their secondary structure includes four short double-helical elements and three loops (D, anti-codon, and T loops). The record is from Rfam by way of RNAcentral. RNAcentral also lists the same sequence under 2 other names. Lineage: Eukaryota; Metazoa; Chordata; Mammalia; Artiodactyla; Camelidae.